GUAGCUCAGUCGGUUAGAGCACCGUCUUGAUAAGGCGGGGGUCGUUGGUUCGAAUCCAACC
This 61-nucleotide transfer RNA is filed under the name Burkholderia lata. RNAcentral describes it as "tRNA-Ile". It matches the Rfam family "tRNA", at positions 7 to 64 of the family's 71-position model. From Rfam's summary of the family: Transfer RNA (tRNA) molecules are approximately 80 nucleotides in length. Their secondary structure includes four short double-helical elements and three loops (D, anti-codon, and T loops). Further hydrogen bonds mediate the characteristic L-shaped molecular structure. tRNAs have two regions of fundamental functional importance: the anti-codon, which is responsible for specific mRNA codon recognition, and the 3' end, to which the tRNAs corresponding amino acid is attached (by aminoacyl-tRNA synthetases). tRNAs cope with the degeneracy of the genetic code in two manners: having more than one tRNA (with a specific anti-codon) for a particular amino acid; and 'wobble' base-pairing, i.e. permitting non-standard base-pairing at the 3rd anti-codon position. Lineage: Bacteria; Pseudomonadati; Pseudomonadota; Betaproteobacteria; Burkholderiales; Burkholderiaceae. The record is from RNAcentral.